CCAAAAGAGCUCACUUAUAAUGCAAAACAAACCUUGAAAUUCAGCAGGUCCACACAAAUCAUACAAAUAUGAAGAAGGCUAAUACUAUUUGGGUUGUCCUCUUGGUCAUUGCAACUAGUGAGUUUUCCUCACAACUAUUUUUUUUUUUUUUUUUUUUUUUACCAAAGUUAGGAAGGGGAAAGGUGAUUUCUCACACACACACACACUACCAAGGUACCAUGGGAGUUUGAAUAUGAGACCAUUAGUCAGCAAGUUAAUACCUUUUUCCACUGGGCGAGACCUCGUUCGCAAGUUUUUCUCACUACUUCAGUUCUCCCACUAGACUCAUAAAAAUAUUUUUAUUAGAUUUACAUAACAUUGACUAGUAAUUUUUUUUAAUUUUUUUUUUUAAACAAUGUUAAUUUGCAGGUGUAACAUUAUUCUCAACAGGAGCAGAAGGGAAACAAUGUUCUACUAACCAGGAUUGUGACAAAACUUCAUGUGUUUCAAGAACAGUUAUUUGUUUUGACCACAAAUGCACAUGCUUGGAUCCAAUUGAUUCUAAU
This 545-nucleotide long non-coding RNA is filed under the name Prunus persica (peach). RNAcentral's name for it is "long non-coding RNA (PPER_LNC005056)". Lineage: Eukaryota; Viridiplantae; Streptophyta; Magnoliopsida; Rosales; Rosaceae. The record is from RNAcentral.